This is a non-coding RNA of Oryzias latipes (Japanese medaka), 754 nucleotides long. The record is from RefSeq and is a predicted model, not a curated record. Lineage: Eukaryota; Metazoa; Chordata; Actinopteri; Beloniformes; Adrianichthyidae.
CCUUUAGAAAGAUAUGGGCUGUCACUUUUUUGUGCGGGAGGGGGUGUUACUUAAGUAUAAUUGAAUUUUAUAAAGCAACCUUGCUUUAAUCAAUCUCUACACCACAUUGUAAAGGUAACUAAAUUUUAUAAUCUAACUCUUGUAGGUCAAUUGGUGUUGCUCUUCCGCUUCAGAGGUUCUAAGCUGGUAAACCUUAAAUGAAGGAGUAAAAUGCUGGUUCAGGUUCGCUACCACCAACAGCAGAAAUAUGUAAAGGUGGAUGAAGUUGAUGGAGAGUUUGAUUUCAUGCAACUGCAUGAAAAAGAGUUUACCGAUUGCUCCUUGUCCUCUCCAUCUGAAUGGUCUGACUCAAGCUUCAGUUCAAGUGCAAAUGCAUCAACUAUACUUCUAGAUGAGAUCCCAAGGAAAAAAUCAAAAGUUAAAGGAACAAUCAAUGCAGUUUCUGCAAAAAAGGUUGUAACAAAGCUCAUUUAUCUUUAACUGUCAACAUUUGUGAUUUUCCGUUUAAUUACAAUUUUUGUCUUCUCUAAGUUGAUCGAAGCUGUACUCGGAACCAGUUCAGGUGGUGAGGAGGUCCUUGAAGAUUAUCACACAUCACAGACUCUUAAAGAUUCUACCAGAAGAAAGCUGGUCAAUAUAAUAGUGGCCCACAUGAUUGAUAAACACAGACAUAUCCCUACCAAAGCUGUUAGAGAAGAAUAUGCUCUUGGGAUAGUGACACUUUUUCCAUCCCUGAAAGACCCAUACUCCGAGA